Molecule: long non-coding RNA, 708 nt
Organism: Pundamilia nyererei
Lineage: Eukaryota; Metazoa; Chordata; Actinopteri; Cichliformes; Cichlidae
Exons: 3
Source: RefSeq, a predicted model, not a curated record
AGUGCUAACCACCGUGCCACCGUGCUGGUCAAACUGGCUGCAGGACACAAGUUUGACAGAGAUGUUGAACUGCUGAUUUAUUACAAAGAUGCUCACCAGCCCACUGCUGUGGUGGAGGCAGGACAGGCCUCUGCUGAGCCGGGCACUCUGAUGGGUGAUCCAGUGGUGAUGGUGAGUUUGUACCCUGAGUUCCCCCAGUCUGUGAUGUCUUCAGGGACGUCUUGUGGAGAGUUUGUGUUCUUAAUGGAUCGAUCUGGAAGUAUGGGCUAUCAGUAAGAGUGAGCAGGAGGAAACUCAUAUGAGCUCUGCCAGGGUAUCCUUAAUACGUUAUUACAGUCAUAACAUCUUUAAUAGUGUCCCUCUCCGCUCUGCUGCUUCUGUUAAAGAACUUACCAAUGGGCUGCUAUUUCAACAUUUACAGUUUUGGGUCCAGUUAUGAACACAUCUUCCUUAAGAGUGUGGAGUAUAGCCAAGAGACCAUGCAGGAGGCGCUGAAGAAUGUUGAUCACAUGGAGGCUGAUUUGGGAGGAUCAGGGAUGCUGGAGCCCCUCAAAUAUAUUUACAACCAGCCUUGCAUUCCCAGUCACCCUAGACAGGUAACAUGCACAAUGGCUCUAAUUAAUUUUCUGGGGACUUCUUGUAAUCAUAACCUUACUGCUUGCCUAACUCUUACCUUAACCUCCUAAGACCCGAGCUCUUUCAUGGCAU